GAUGAGAACGUAGCGAAAUGCGAUAAGUAGUGUGAAUUGCAGAAUUCAGUGAAUCAUCGAAUCUUUGAACGCACAUUGCGCCUCCUGGUAUUCCGGGAGGCAUGCCUGUUCGAGCGUCAUUAAAAUCACUCAAGCUUAGGUUUACCUAUUGCUUGGUCUUGGAGAUGGAAGCCAAUUUAUUGGAAUCCUCUUCGAAAUUCAAUGGCGAAGACCCUUGCUCUCCCAAGUGUAGUAAUAACUUAUGUCACUGAAGGAAGCGAGAAAUCUUCUGCCGUAACCCCCAUAUUUUCUAUGAUUGACCUCGGAUCAGGUAGGGAUACCCGCUGAACUUAAGCAUAUCAAUAAGCGGAGGA
RNAcentral lists this unclassified non-coding RNA (353 nucleotides) under soil metagenome. Its description in RNAcentral is "partial contains 5.8S ribosomal RNA, internal transcribed spacer 2, and large subunit ribosomal RNA". The stretch from base 5 to 119 matches the Rfam family "5.8S ribosomal RNA", at positions 40 to 154 of the family's 154-position model. The record is from RNAcentral.